GCCCCGAUGGUGGAAUUUGGUAGACACAUUAGAUUUAAGCUCUAACAAGCAUUGCGCUUAUGAGGGUUCGAGUCCCUCUCGGGGUA
RNAcentral lists this transfer RNA (86 nucleotides) under Bacilli bacterium. RNAcentral describes it as "tRNA-Leu". It matches the Rfam family "tRNA". From Rfam's summary of the family: Transfer RNA (tRNA) molecules are approximately 80 nucleotides in length. Their secondary structure includes four short double-helical elements and three loops (D, anti-codon, and T loops). The record is from RNAcentral. Lineage: Bacteria; Bacillati; Bacillota; Bacilli.